CGCUUGUGGGGCCUUGGGGGGCGGCGUCCCACGUGCAGGAGCUGGAAGAACCUGCAACUGGGAUAUACAACUAUGCGCUGGGGGCUUUCAGGAGAAAAAAAAAUGAGGAAGAUUGGUAACAGAUGUUAGCUCAGGGCCAAUCUUCAAAAUAAAUAAACCAAAAAACAAACAGAAUUAAAGGCUACCCGAGUGGAUUUAACAUCCGUGGGAAGGCCAGAAUUUUCUUUAAAAGUGAUCUGCAGCCAAUUAUAACAGCCAUGAACAGGCUCAUCAGGCUUUUGUAUGCAAGCCUGAAGGCUUGGGCAAAGCUAUUGUGAUUUUCAGUGGAGAUUUCCAGUGAAUGUGCUAGCAUCUUUCCAAAAGUUAGUGGUUCAUUUUUCGAAAUCCCUUUCAGGAUGUUCCUGUAGGGCCAGUUUCGUCCAAUGUUGGGCAAGACCUUCACCAACAAGCCUGUGGAUUAGUUGAUAUGAAUCCGAAGACCCUGGCUGGGAAAAAGAAAAUUCCUAGCUAGCCCAAUUCCAAAAGGAACCUUACCAAAGUUUCAGCACACUUCCAAAAGGAAACUAAUCCAGUACUCACCAAGGAGGAAGCCUUGAACUAGAAAGGAC
This 608-nucleotide long non-coding RNA is filed under the name Equus asinus (donkey). RNAcentral describes it as "lncRNA (ENSEASG00005030410.1)". The record is from RNAcentral. Lineage: Eukaryota; Metazoa; Chordata; Mammalia; Perissodactyla; Equidae.